This 253-nucleotide ribosomal RNA is filed under the name uncultured bacterium. Its description in RNAcentral is "partial 16S ribosomal RNA". It matches the Rfam family "Bacterial small subunit ribosomal RNA", at positions 524 to 776 of the family's 1533-position model. The record is from RNAcentral.
UACGAGUGGAGCGAGCGUUGUUCGGAAUCACUGGGCGUAAAGCGUACGCAGGCUGUUAUGAAAGUCAGAAGUGAAAUCCCAGGGCUUAACCCUGGAAUGGCUUUUGAAACUCCAUAACUCGAGUCCCGGAGAGGUUGGCGGAAUUCUCAGUGUAGAGGUAAAAUUCGCAGAUAUUGAGAGGAACACCAGUGGCGUAAGCGGCCAACUGGACGGGUACUGACGCUCAUGUACGAAAGCGUGGGGAUCAAACAGG